AACGAACGCUGGCGGCAUGCCUAACACAUGCAAGUCGAACGAGACCUUCGGGUCUAGUGGCGCACGGGUGCGUAACGCGUGGGAACCUGCCCUUAGGUUCGGAAUAACUCCCCGAAAGGGGUGCUAAUACCGGAUAAUGUCUGCGGACCAAAGAUUUAUCGCCUUUGGAUGGGCCCGCGUUGGAUUAGCUAGUUGGUAGUGUAAAAGCCUACCAAGGCGACGAUCCAUAGCUGGUCUGAGAGGAUGAUCAGCCACACUGGGACUGAGACACGGCGCAGACUCCUACGGGAGGCAGCAGUGGGGAAUAUUGGACAAUGGGCGAAAGCCUGAUCCAGCAAUGCCGCGUGAGUGAUGAAGGCCUUAGGGUUGUAAAGCUCUUUUACCCGGGAUGAUAAUGACAGUACCGGGAGAAUAAGCUCCGGCUAACUCCGUG
This 433-nucleotide ribosomal RNA is filed under the name uncultured bacterium. Its description in RNAcentral is "partial 16S ribosomal RNA". It matches the Rfam family "Bacterial small subunit ribosomal RNA", at positions 29 to 507 of the family's 1533-position model. The record is from RNAcentral.